This 1016-nucleotide long non-coding RNA is filed under the name Musa acuminata (dwarf banana). RNAcentral describes it as "long non-coding RNA (MACU_LNC011439)". Lineage: Eukaryota; Viridiplantae; Streptophyta; Magnoliopsida; Zingiberales; Musaceae. The record is from RNAcentral.
GAAAUGGCACAUGUACGUUUGGUUGUUCCGCGUGUGCUUCCGUUAUAUGCUGCUUAUUGUUAAACACUGCCCUUUUGUACUCUGGUGUGUGGGAUUGUCUGGACCUUUGCCAGAAAUGGUAAAGGGUAUGCGCUUAUUUGCCCGCUAUGUGGGGUCCCACUAUGUGGGAUAUUCUGGACCUUUGCCAGAAAUGGUAAAGGGUAUGUGCUUAGAGCCUGCGAUGCUCUGCCGGCCCCCUUUGACUUCACCUAGACGUGGGUGGAUGGAGCUCCCAGACGUGGGAGACUUUUGUCAGGUGGUCAUUCAGAAAUGGAUGAAUCACAUUCUGACUGAGAUCCCACUACACCUUCUAUAUGUUUGAUAUGACAUCCAGAGUUUUGGUGAGUUGUUUCUGUUCAUGCUCUGGAUAAGAAUGAUAUGAUUGCAACGUCAAGGACGACGUUUGAACUUCUGUACGGUAUUUGUGUUUGAUAUGCUCUGAAAUGCUUCAUUCACUAUUGAUUUUGCUUCGAAAUUUUUCAUAUGCCGUUGAUAUGCUUCGGAACAUUUCAUAUGUCAUUGAUAAGCUCCGAUAUGUUUCCUUGUUACUGAUAUGCUCCAAUUACUCUAUGCCCCAUCUGUCAGGAACCAAAUAUGUACGAUUGAAAGGACAAUUGUGAUUAUGCUCCUAAUGAUAUUAUGUCUACGAAAUCGUAUAUUCUGCUUUGUGUUUUGAAACUGUAUCUCUUUGGAAAUUGUACUAUUUUGAUAUGGAUAUGUUAGUCACUUGCUGAGCUCUUUAUGCUCACCCCGUUUGUUGAUAAAUUUUUCAGGAUAGCGUAUCGCUUGCUUAAAUGUUAAGAUUGGGCUGAGGCAGUGGAAAGUUUAGAAGAUUUUGGGCAGAUCUUUGUUAGCAUAUGUAUAUUUGUUGUAUGAGAUACUCUGCAUCUUAUGAAAUGUGACGAUGAAUCUAAACCUAUGGAUUUUGUGUAAGAUAAAGGAUCCCUCGUGUAUAGGAUUUUGGAAUGUUAAGUUAA